AAAGUCGUAACAAGGUUUCCGUAGGUGAACCUGCGGAAGGAUCAUCAUUGAACCUCUAAAUAUCAACACACGCCCUGUGCACCUGGACCCGCGGGAGGGGAGGAGCGGCCUUUAGUGCGCCGCGAGCCCCCGCCCGCACCCGCUUAAACCCCCCUUUUUUACCCCUUUUCUUACAACAAAACAAAAACAUAACCAAUAGACAACUUUUAACAACGGAUCUCUUGGCUCUC
Molecule: unclassified non-coding RNA, 230 nt
Filed under: Basidiomycota sp.
Lineage: Eukaryota; Fungi; Basidiomycota
Also listed under: 1 other name
Description: partial contains small subunit ribosomal RNA, internal transcribed spacer 1, and 5.8S ribosomal RNA
Rfam family: Eukaryotic small subunit ribosomal RNA (bases 1-47)
Source: RNAcentral